This is a long non-coding RNA of Helianthus annuus (common sunflower), 743 nucleotides long. RefSeq lists it as uncharacterized. The record is from RefSeq and is a predicted model, not a curated record. Lineage: Eukaryota; Viridiplantae; Streptophyta; Magnoliopsida; Asterales; Asteraceae. The transcript is spliced from 6 exons.
UGUCUCUCUCUUCAAUCAAAUAAAUCUUUCCUUUUUCCUUAUUGUUUCCCUUUUCAUAGUACAGAAACCCUAGGUUUCUUCCUUUGCUUCUUCCUUUGCGGCUUUAUUCUUGGUAUAGGUAAUUUCAAGGUUACAAUCUUUCACAAUUAUUUUGUUUUCGUAUUCAAAUCUCCCAAUACCUCUCUGAAAGUUGAAGCACUGAUGUCAUCGCACCAUCAAAGUUGUCGAUUUGAAGGUCAUCGCUCUCUCUGGCUCAUGAAAUCAAGGUUUUUUUUUAAAUGAUUGGAAUGCGAUGGGGACAGAGGAUUUUGGUAAAUCUUGUGACUAGGAAAGUUCAUACAUGUUGUUCGAUCCAAAUCAAUGUUUUAUGUUCAAAGCAAAUCAAUGGUGACAUGGGGACUCAAAAACGCUGCUUCCCUCCACUGAUAUCUUGACCGCCGGAAGAAGAAAUAGGUAAUGUUUCUGUACCUUUUAUGUUUUGAUUCAAUUAUUGCUUUCAGUUUCUCUCUUUCCUUUCUCUCUCAAAACCCUAGAUCAAAUGAGUGCAAGUUCCUGUUCUUCAUUCUCAUAUUCAUCAAUCAAUAACAUAGGUAUCAAAACUUUGCAAUCAAGAUAUCAACAAGAGAUUCACGAAGAGAAAGAUCAAUCCAGGUUUUAAUCGAUCUCAAAUCAGCAGUUGCACUUGCUUGAAGACCAGUGAUUGGCAUUUGAUAUCUUCUAUAUACAGCUCAUGCUAAAUCGUU